GUCUAUAAUGUGGCACAGUGGCUUCAGUGCUGGACUAAGAUUCUAGAGACCAGGGUUCAAUUACCAGUUUGGCCA
Phrynosoma platyrhinos (Desert horned lizard) is the source of this 75-nucleotide non-coding RNA. NCBI's taxonomy places the organism in Eukaryota, Metazoa, Chordata, Lepidosauria, Squamata, Phrynosomatidae. The record is from the annotation of a GenBank genome assembly.